GCCGGAGUGGCGGAACUGGCAGACGCACCAGACUCAAAAUCUGGCGGGGCUAAUUACCCCGUGCGGGUUCGAAUCCCGCCUCCGGCACCA
RNAcentral lists this transfer RNA (90 nucleotides) under candidate division WS1 bacterium. RNAcentral describes it as "tRNA-Leu". It matches the Rfam family "tRNA". Rfam says of the family: Transfer RNA (tRNA) molecules are approximately 80 nucleotides in length. Lineage: Bacteria; Bacillati. The record is from RNAcentral.